GGACAGGUAUCUCAGUCGUAAGAGGUCUUAAUCGAAUGUUUAAGAAGUCGGUGGUUCAAUUCCAUCCCUGUCUCCCA
Molecule: transfer RNA, 77 nt
Filed under: Bacteroidota bacterium
Lineage: Bacteria; Pseudomonadati; Bacteroidota
Description: Bacteroidetes bacterium tRNA-OTHER
Rfam family: tRNA
About the family: Transfer RNA (tRNA) molecules are approximately 80 nucleotides in length.
Source: RNAcentral